AUGGAUCAUGUUGCAGUGAGAGGAAUCAAGUUGCAGCGCGAGAGCAGUCAGGGGUUGCAUGCCAGCAGCUCCAAAAUGUCACCCAAUGGCCACCUCGCCAGUCAACUGAACCCGGUGAACGCCUCGAGUCGUGAAGCAUUGUGUUCUGGAAAUUCACCUCAGUACUUUGGCAAAGGAACAAAGCUGACUGUUCUGGAAAAAGACCCAGUUCCCCCUAAACUUCACAUCCUCGAGCCGUCGAAGGAAGAGAUUGUGCAGAAGAAGCGGGUGACCCUGGUGUGUCUGGCCACUAAUUUCUACCCGGAUCACAUUGAAAUCACCUGGAAGAUCAAUGGCAAGAACAGAGAGGACGGGGUUAAAACAGACGAUUAUGCAACCAAGGAUGACAAGAACACAUCCAGCAUCAGCAGCCGGCUAAGACUGACUCCGAGAGAAUGGUUUAACCCCAAGAACACCUUCACCUGUGCUGUGGAGUUCUACAAGGAAACUGAUAAAGCAACAUCUAUUGUAGAAUAUAUCAAGGCUAAAGAUGGCUGUGGCAUGACUCAAGACUCCUAUCAGAAGAGUUCAGCGGCUGCAAAGUUUUCAUACACACUGUUCAUUGGCAAAAGUGUCCUGUAUGGGCUGCUGGUGGCAGUUUUUGUGUGGAAAUUUAGGCAGCCUUCACCGGGUAAAAACUUCAACUAGAAGACGAAGGGAAGGAUGCAUUGGAACCAGCGAACCAGAAGAGACUCUGCAUUGCUUCAGCGCUAAAAUAGCAUUCUGCUUUGCAUUGUUGUUCAGUUCUAGCAGUGAUGUUGUUCUUUAUAACUAAAGUGCUCAUUUUAAGAGUCGAGACUCAAUAAGGCUCACAGUUGGCUUGCUGGAAAACUCUUAAUAUUUCUACAGCUGUUCUGUACAAUUGUUUUCCAGAGUUUUUUUUUAUUUUCAAGCCAACACAUUUUAAAACAUUUUAAACUUGUUUUGGCUUCAAAUGUCUUCUUACUUUUUUACACUCAAUACAAAUGAUAAAAGGUGUAUUUGCAAUGUUAGCAGUAGCUUCGCUUAAACCUCGCUUUUAAGACUUGGGUUUGAUAUUGUCAGGAAUUGAUUUCCAUCCUUAUUUGUAUUACUGAACACAGGAAUGAAAACAUUCCAGAAUGUGCUAUUUAGCUUUCCAGCCUCUACCAAUUAAAAGUGCUGGAAUUAGUCUUCCAUCUAAUUAAUUGCAUCCUCAAAUUAAUAUUGUAAUCAUUAAUAUAAAUGUAUUUGCUGGAAAUAAUGCUGCAUAAUACAUGACUUUUAUCUAGAUACUACUUUUGUAUUCGUCCAUCCUUGGAAUUAUACAAUGCCUACAGUACUUGCAUAAUAAAAUGGUUUAAUGUA
This is a non-coding RNA of Acipenser ruthenus (sterlet), 1365 nucleotides long. NCBI's taxonomy places the organism in Eukaryota, Metazoa, Chordata, Actinopteri, Acipenseriformes, Acipenseridae. The record is from the annotation of a RefSeq genome assembly.